AACGAACGCUGGCGGCAUGCCUAACACAUGCAAGUCGAACGAGAUCUUCGGGUCUAGUGGCGCACGGGUGCGUAACGCGUGGGAAUCUGCCCUUUGGUUCGGAAUAACAGUUGGAAACGACUGCUAAUACCGGAUGAUGACGAAAGUCCAAAGAUUUAUCGCCAGAGGAUGAGCCCGCGUAGGAUUAGCUAGUUGGUGUGGUAAAGGCGCACCAAGGCGACGAUCCUUAGCUGGUCUGAGAGGAUGAUCAGCCACACUGGGACUGAGACACGGCCCAGACUCCUACGGGAGGCAGCAGUGGGGAAUAUUGGACAAUGGGCGAAAGCCUGAUCCAGCAAUGCCGCGUGAGUGAUGAAGGCCUUAGGGCUGUAAAGCUCUUUUACCCGGGAUGAUAAUGAUAGUACCGGGAGAAUAAGCUCCGGCUAACUCCGUGCCAGCCGCCGCAGUAA
Molecule: ribosomal RNA, 449 nt
Filed under: uncultured bacterium
Lineage: Bacteria
Description: partial 16S ribosomal RNA
Rfam family: Bacterial small subunit ribosomal RNA
Source: RNAcentral